RNAcentral lists this ribosomal RNA (253 nucleotides) under uncultured bacterium. Its description in RNAcentral is "partial 16S ribosomal RNA". It matches the Rfam family "Bacterial small subunit ribosomal RNA", at positions 524 to 776 of the family's 1533-position model. The record is from RNAcentral.
UACAGAGGGGGCAAGCGUUGUUCGGAAUUACUGGGCGUAAAGGGCGCGUAGGCGGCCGCCUAAGUCAGACGUGAAAUCCCUCGGCUUAACCGGGGAACUGCGUCUGAUACUGGGUGGCUUGAAUCCGGGAGAGGGAUGCGGAAUUCCAGGUGUAGCGGUGAAAUGCGUAGAUAUCUGGAGGAACACCGGUGGCGAAGGCGGCAUCCUGGACCGGCAUUGACGCUGAGGAGCGAAAGCCAGGGGAGCAAACGGG